AUGUUUUCAGCAUCCUGCCGCGUCUGGGUUAAGGUCAAAACUAUUAAAGUCAGUAAUGUUUCCUUGGGAGCAUAUGAACAAGACCUUAAGGAGUUCUUUUCCUUUUCUGGUGAUAUUGAAUAUGUUGAAAUGCAAAGUCAUGACGAACGAUCUCAAAUUGCCUUUGUCACUUUCAAGGACCCACAAGGUGCUGAGACUGCAGUACUACUAUCGACCCGCAUAUCUAGGUUCAAAAAUAGGGACCAAUGA
Vicia faba (fava bean) is the source of this 249-nucleotide non-coding RNA. The record is from the annotation of a GenBank genome assembly. Lineage: Eukaryota; Viridiplantae; Streptophyta; Magnoliopsida; Fabales; Fabaceae.